AGACUACAACGCUUUUGCUCCGGAAAUUGCAUCGCUAAAUUCCCGUCCUUGGAGACUUCAAGCAUGAGCAACCGCCUCAAAUUGAAGAUUUUCCCAGCUCCUGACCAAACACUACAGCUAACAAACGAAGAGGAAGACACAGAUGUCGAUGCUUAGGAGAAGUGGCUGACUGCUGAUGAUAAACGGAAUUUGGCAAGUACUGAUUGAUAUCUUAACCAGAUUCCAUCAUUCUACUGCUCCACCUGGCCUCAAUGGUCUGACAUAAGUGGAAGAUUGUUCACCAAACAUUUAUGUUGAUGAAUAUCUUUGGUGUUGGAG
This is a long non-coding RNA of Rosa chinensis, 318 nucleotides long. RefSeq lists it as uncharacterized. The transcript is spliced from 3 exons. NCBI's taxonomy places the organism in Eukaryota, Viridiplantae, Streptophyta, Magnoliopsida, Rosales, Rosaceae. The record is from RefSeq and is a predicted model, not a curated record.